This 460-nucleotide ribosomal RNA is filed under the name uncultured bacterium. Its description in RNAcentral is "partial 16S ribosomal RNA". It matches the Rfam family "Bacterial small subunit ribosomal RNA", at positions 338 to 795 of the family's 1533-position model. The record is from RNAcentral.
CCUACGGGGAGCAGCAGUGAGGAAUAUUGGUCAAUGGACGCAAGUCUGAACCAGCCAUGCCGCGUGCAGGAAGACGGCUCUAUGAGUUGUAAACAGCUUUUGUACGAGGGUAAACGCAGAUACGCGUAUCUGUCUGAAAGUAUCGUACGAAUAAGGAUCGGCUAACUCCGUGCCAGCAGCCGCGGUAAUACGGAGGAUUCAAGCGUUAUCCGGAUUUAUUGGGUUUAAAGGGUGCGUAGGCGGUCGGAUAAGUUAGAGGUGAAAUCCCGAGGCUCAACUUCGGAAUUGCCUCUGAUACUGUUCGGCGAGAGAGUAGUUGCGGUAGGCGGAAUGUAUGGUGUAGCGGUGAAAUGCUUAGAGAUCAUACAGAACACCGAUUGCGAAGGCAGCUUACCAAGCUACUUCUGACGUUGAGGCACGAAAGCGUGGGGAGCAAACAGGAUUAGAUACCCCUGUAGUC